ACUAUUUUGGCAGAUAAGUGCAUUAGAUUUAGAAUCUAUUAAUGUGAAGUUACAUUUACAAGUAGUA
This 67-nucleotide transfer RNA is filed under the name Bulbitermes makhamensis. Its description in RNAcentral is "tRNA-Leu". It matches the Rfam family "tRNA". From Rfam's summary of the family: Transfer RNA (tRNA) molecules are approximately 80 nucleotides in length. Their secondary structure includes four short double-helical elements and three loops (D, anti-codon, and T loops). Lineage: Eukaryota; Metazoa; Arthropoda; Insecta; Blattodea; Termitidae. The record is from RNAcentral.